Molecule: ribosomal RNA, 433 nt
Filed under: uncultured bacterium
Lineage: Bacteria
Description: partial 16S ribosomal RNA
Rfam family: Bacterial small subunit ribosomal RNA
Source: RNAcentral
AGCGAACGCUGGCGGCAGGCCUAACACAUGCAAGUCGAACGAACUCUUCGGAGUUAGUGGCGGACGGGUGAGUAACACGUGGGAACGUGCCUUUAGGUUCGGAAUAACUCAGGGAAACUUGUGCUAAUACCGAAUGUGCCCUUCGGGGGAAAGAUUUAUCGCCUUUAGAGCGGCCCGCGUCUGAUUAGCUAGUUGGUGAGGUAAAGGCUCACCAAGGCGACGAUCAGUAGCUGGUCUGAGAGGAUGAUCAGCCACAUUGGGACUGAGACACGGCCCAAACUCCUACGGGAGGCAGCAGUGGGGAAUCUUGCGCAAUGGGCGAAAGCCUGACGCAGCCAUGCCGGGUGAAUGAUGAAGGUCUUAGGAUUGUAAAAUUCUUUCACCGGGGACGAUAAUGACGGUACCCGGAGAAGAAGCCCCGGCUAACUUCGUG